GCCGUCCGGUCAUAAGAACAAAGUAGGGUUUAAGACCCUCUCCUUCCAUUCAAUGGGGUGUUCUUAUGGCGUGUAGGGAUGCUACGCGUUCAUCCUUAAUCAGAAAUCAAAAUUUACUUUUCUGCAAAACCCUAGAUCCUGAAACCCUAGGAUUUAUUUACAUGUUUUGUUUAUGAACCCAAGACUUAAUUAAUGAAUUAAGCUUAUGAAAUUAAAUUAGGUCUAAAAUUGAGAAUUUUAGAUCUAAGCCAUUUUCAUAAAAUUGGAUUCAAACUUGGAUAACUCAAUUAGGUCUAGCGAUUGAUCAAAUCGAAUCAAAAAUUGGUUAGGUGGGAUCAUGGAAGCUAAUAAUUGACCAACCUAAUAGGAUUAAGUCUAGG
This 380-nucleotide long non-coding RNA is filed under the name Elaeis guineensis (African oil palm). RNAcentral's name for it is "long non-coding RNA (EGUI_LNC074686)". The record is from RNAcentral. Lineage: Eukaryota; Viridiplantae; Streptophyta; Magnoliopsida; Arecales; Arecaceae.